RNAcentral lists this long non-coding RNA (3659 nucleotides) under Sus scrofa (pig). Its description in RNAcentral is "lncRNA (ENSSSCG00000060886.1)". Lineage: Eukaryota; Metazoa; Chordata; Mammalia; Artiodactyla; Suidae. The record is from RNAcentral.
UAGAAGUUCCCAGGCUAGGGAUCAAAUCAGAGAUGAAGCUGCCAACCUAUGCCACAGCCACUGCCACACUGCAACCCUGACACAUGUGUGACCUACACUCCAGCUGUGGGCAAUACCCAAUCCAUAACCCACUGAGUGAGGCCAGGGACUGAACCCACAUCCUCCUAGAGUCUACAUCAGGUCCUUAAUCCACUGAGCCACAAUGGGAACUCUGCAAAGCAUCUCUCACUGUAUUUUACAGAACCUCAUCCACAGUGGAUUCCCUCUGGGGACAAGAAUAUGUCCUCAGGGGAGACGUUUGGGAAGCCCUCUCCUGCUGGGCUGCAGGUGCCCAAUCUCCAGAUGCAAACCCAGGAGAGGAAGAAGGAAGGGGGCACUGAGCCACUGGCCAUGGAGGGUCCCUGCCUCUGGACCAUUCAGUUUCCCAAUAUGGCUGAAAUGAAGCCACACUCCUGUCUCAAAUCCUUCCAUUUCAUUGAUGAAAAUUACUUGCUGAGGAGUUCCUGUUGUGGCUCAGCAGGUUAAGAAACUGACUAGGAUCCAUGAGGAUGCAGAUUGGAUUCCUGGCCACACUCAGUGGGUUAAGGAUCUGGCACUGCUGAGAGCUGCAGGGUAUACUGCAAACAAGGCUCAGAUCCGGCAUAGCUGUGGCUGGGGUAUAGGCUGGCAGCUACAGCUCUGAUUUGACCCCUAGCCAGGAACUCCCAUAUGGCAGGUAUGGCCCUAGAAAAGGAAAAAGAAAGAAAUUACUUGCAGAACCUAAGAGUGUUAUGAACAUUUUAACAGGGCAACAACAACAGCAAUAAUCCCUAAUGUGGACAGUUCAGAGUAAAAGACAGAUCAAUGGCUUCUAAGCAUAUAAAAAUCAUUUUCAACGUCACCCCAAGAGAAAUAGAAAAUAAAAAGAGUGCACAUGUAUCAUAUAUCAGAUGAACAAAGAUUACGUUUCAUAAGACAGAGGGGCCCAGGUAUGGCCAAAAAAUAAAAUUUCCUAAGAUACUGUGCUGGUGAGGAAGUUGGAAAGUGUGCACAAAAGCACUCUCUUUUUUAGAAUGAAUCCCUAGGAGCUCCCUGGUGGCUCAGCAGGUUAAGGAUCUGGCAUUAUCCUGUCACAAGGAUCUGUCACUGCUGUGGUAAAGGUUUGAUGCCUAGCCUAGGACCUUCCACAUGCUGAGGGUGCAGUCAAUUACAAAACAACAACAAAAUAAAAACCAAGAAGGAAUCCCUAAUCCCUAAAACCUCAGACCUCUCAGUUGAUGAGCAGAUGCUGGGGAGGGAGAGGGUCACUUGCCUCUGUUAAUUUGGGGGCCUUCCUCUCUUUAGACAGUCUCACCAAAUGCGGGAUGCAAGGGUCCUGCCAGUAGCCACUGCUCACUGCACAUCUGGAAGCAAUGGAAAAGGAAACAGGUGAGGAGAGUAAGUCAGGCCAGGUUCCAUGGCCAAGUUCCCAGGACCCAAGUAAAGGAGCCACAAGAAAUAAUGUAUUGACCUCAAAGGCCAAGUCCCAUCUAGUGACCCAGCACCAGCAUAAACAGGCUUCUCCAUCCACCUUUCUAUUCCCAGACGCUGCCCAUCACAGUGCCCACCAUGCUCACUCUUCCCUCAGAUCACACAUUCCAUUCCCAGGCCGGAACAUCAAGUAACCCCAUGUCCUAUACCAUUCAGAAGACCUGCAACCAUGUAUUCAGUCAGCAAACUCACUGGCCAGAGCUGAUCAGAGCCAUUUCAUCCACCAAGAGAGUUGGGUCCAGGGGAAAGGAGAUCCCAAAAUAGUGGGCCCACAUCACUAAUAACUACCAAGGAAUUUCUCUGGAUUCAUAUACACCUGUCAUUUCCUGUCCCUUAGUCAGGUCUAAGGAGGGAAACCAGGAACACAUACACAAAACAGCUACAACUUGGGAAAUGCUAAGGAAGCCAAAACUCUAUCCUCACCUACACUACCAGGAUUUAAAGCGAGAGUGUUCCAACUUGGGGAGCUGAAGCCCAGCUGACCCCUGAAAGUCUCCUGCCACCAUGAGUGGAACCAGCCUGAGGACAAAUGACAAGUCAUAGAAGGAACCUGGAUCCCUAAGGCUCCAUCAUGCCCCAUGGCCUGGAGCCUUCUCUACGUCCCUAGGAAUAUGAGUGAGGUACCAGUGAGAUGAUAUAGGUCUUUACAACUUAAGCCAAAUUGAGUCGGGCUUCUGUUACUUGCAGCUUAAAGCAUCCUAAGUGAUAUCCUAAUAACACAACCACUUCCACAUUGUUUGCUAAGUAAGUCCAAACUGAAGAUGUGGGGCAGGAGGGGGGGAUAUGCUGGAUGUCACCCAUUAGGUUGUCAGCUCCUCGAUGCACAUAUCACAUCCUUCCUUUUCUUCACAUCCAGCAACAAGGCUUCCUGCUGCCUUGACUGCAAGAGGUGCUGAAUUUGGUACAAACAUGUCAACCCCUCCCCACCCCAGCCUCUCGCAUCCAUGCUUGCACAUCCAUACACACCCAGGAGGAAGCAUGCAAGUGAAGCUGCUCAAGGCAGCAACUCAACACAGCAACACACAAAGGACUCGCUAAGGGACAAAAUUCACUACAAGCCCAGACUGUCCAAGGAGAACAGAGCACACCUGCUCCCUGGUCUGAAAUAGUGCUUUUAAACAAGGAGCUGGGACUCAUUCAUAUCCUAAAAUCCCAGUAGCUUAACUGUAGCUUUACAAUUAGUAGAAGCGUGUAAAUUCCCCUAAGUCCCUCUUCUUUUGAAGAUAUUUUAUUUGGCUAGUCCAGAUUCUUUGCAUUUCCACACACAUUUAGAUUCAAUUUGCUAAUUUCUUACAGAAAAAGAAAAGAUGGCUAGAGUUUUGACUGGGACUUAAACAGCUGGUCUUUUGUAAUGCUAUAUUGUAAAUGAUAUUUUAAGUUCUCAUUUUCCUGUGCAUGCAUAUCUAUUCACAACACAGGUGUCUGACAAAGGAGUCCUAUCCAGAAUGUAUCAUGACCUCUAAUAAGGUGGAACCAACGUGAUCACCAGCAGCAACAAUGGGCAAAGGACUCCAACAGACCAUUCACAAAAGAAGUUGCAGAAAUGGCCAAUAAGCACCUGAGAAGUACGCAUUUGUCACCAGGGGAGUAUCAUUUAAGAUGAAAAUGAGACGCUAGUUCACAUCCACUAACAACAAUGAAUGUUUAACAAGGAUAUGGAGCCACUGCAGUUUGGAUACAUGGCGAGUGAGAAGUGCAAACUGAUAAACCACUGUGGAAAUUCAUCUGGCAGUUAAAUACAUACCCACAUAUGACUAAGCAAUUCCACUCCUAGAUAGCUAUCCAAGAGACAUUUCAGACUGCUACAACAGUGUUCCCUGCAGCCUGUUCAUGAUGGUCAAACACAGAUCCAACUCAAAUCUGUACCACCAGGUGAACAGAACAAAUCGUGUUAUAUUCACACAACAACACAAAAAGGAGCACAUGAUUUGACACUGACCAUGAUUCUCUCCUUGACCAACCUGUCACCUGCCUCCUCUGAGCUGCUCCUCGACUAGACCUCCACCUGGGCUUAGAAUAUAAAGGCCUGGAGUUCCCACUGCGGCACAGUGGUUAACGAAUCCGACUAGAAACCAUGAGGUUGCAGGUUCAAUUCCUGGCCUUGCUCAGUGGGUUAAGGAUCUGGCAUUGCCAUGAGCUGUGGUGUAGGU